Non-coding RNA from Heterocephalus glaber (naked mole-rat), 644 nucleotides. The record is from RefSeq and is a predicted model, not a curated record. Lineage: Eukaryota; Metazoa; Chordata; Mammalia; Rodentia; Bathyergidae.
UCCGCCUGCCCGGGGUGCUCGGCCUGCCCCGGGUGCUCCGCCUGCCCAGGGUGCUCCACCUGACCCAGAUAGGAGUCCUAAACAGACGCCUGAAGAACUGGCCUUUUAUGCUCCGAAUUAUUUAUGUUUGACUCUCUUGGCUAUAGUUUUUUGCCCUCCCUUGGGACUCAUAAGUGUCUACUUCUGCUAUAAGACUUCAGUUGCCAACUGGAACAGCAACUGGGAAGAAGCUUAUACCAACUCAGGCCGAACUGGCUGUGUGGAUGUAUUCGCCAUACUCAUUGGUUUGGGCCUCCUUUACGGAUAUAUCCUAUUUUACUGAAGGCCAAGAACAGAGUGCCAGGGUUUUACAACCCAACAAACCCACCCACUAAGACACUGACCAGCCACCAUGCAAGAAACUCAACAGCUGAUUCAUCCCCUAGCCAAGAAACUUGCCACCAACCAAGGAACACAACAUCCAAGCAACCCAGCACCCUAGGAACAACUAGGCCCCUGCCUGUACCACAUCAGCUCACCUGGCCUCCAGAGGAAUCUUCAUUCACCUUGGGAUCCACACAUCAGCACCUGACAUCCUCUUAUUUCCUUAACACUGGGCUGCUCUCUCAGAAAAAAAAUUAAACCAAUAAAACUGAAAAGAAUGU